Molecule: non-coding RNA, 24 nt
Filed under: Arabidopsis thaliana (thale cress)
Lineage: Eukaryota; Viridiplantae; Streptophyta; Magnoliopsida; Brassicales; Brassicaceae
Source: RNAcentral
UACAGGAUUUGCCUUGAGUAUGAG